UUUCUUCUUCUUUCUACUUUCUUCUUUCUCUUUUGUUCUUCUUCUCGCCAGACCCACAGAGAGAGUGACGUGAGAGGGAGAUUUAGAGGGAGAGAUCAAGAGGGUUGAGAGACAGUGAGAUGAGACCGAGAGAGAGAGCCGAGAGAUUGAGGGAGAGAUCGGAGCCCGAUCCUCCGGUGGAUGACGCCGGUGAAGCUACGAUGGCCGAUCUUCUAGGUGCGAUUUCCGGCGAGUUUUCUGGCGGUCCCAGCAGUGAUUUCCGGCGAGCUCGUUGACCCAGGAACCCAUGGAGACCUGAAACCCAUUGAACCCGAGAGAGAGAUCCGUGACCCGAGACCCGUGAAACCUGACCCUCUAGGUGCGGUUUUCCGGCGAACCAAAGCCGAUUUCCGGAUCAUGUUCGGAUUGGAGACUUUAAUUGGUUCUCCAAUGUAAAGUCCAAGUGACUAGAGUCCAAGGAGUGUUCGAGUUGGAGUCUAAUGCAGCCAAGAUGAUGUUUCUUUGGCUGCAGGUACUUCGGUAUAGUCGAUGGGUUGGUAGCAGUGUGCUUGGGAUAUUAUGACUGAAGCUCACCGCGACGGUUGUAAUUGUCGGACCACGGGUUGUCCACUGUUUUAUAGGUUUGGUAUAGCUUAUGACGUUUGUGUCACAUAUUCUUUGUAAAGCUAUAGUAGUUUUGUAAAUAAUGUGUUAAUAAGACUCAUACAGAUAGACGUUAAAUGGCUCUUUGUGGUAAUUAAUUUGUAAUAAAUGUAUAAGUUGUAAUUUCCGCUAUUCAGAUUUAUGUUUUCCGCUGCAUAGA
This is a long non-coding RNA of Alnus glutinosa, 802 nucleotides long. RefSeq lists it as uncharacterized. NCBI's taxonomy places the organism in Eukaryota, Viridiplantae, Streptophyta, Magnoliopsida, Fagales, Betulaceae. The transcript is spliced from 3 exons. The record is from RefSeq and is a predicted model, not a curated record.